RNAcentral lists this ribosomal RNA (212 nucleotides) under uncultured Staphylococcus sp. RNAcentral's name for it is "partial 16S ribosomal RNA". It matches the Rfam family "Bacterial small subunit ribosomal RNA", at positions 150 to 355 of the family's 1533-position model. Lineage: Bacteria; Bacillati; Bacillota; Bacilli; Caryophanales; Staphylococcaceae. The record is from RNAcentral.
CGGGAACCGGAGCUAAUACCGGAUAAUAUUUCGAACCGCAUGGUUCGAUAGUGAAAGAUGGUUUUUGCUAUCACUUAUAGAUGGACCCGCGCCGUAUUAGCUAGUUGGUAAGGUAACGGCUUACCAAGGCGACGAUACGUAGCCGACCUGAGAGGGUGAUCGGCCACACUGGAACUGAGACACGGUCCAGACUCCUACGGGAGGCAGCAGCC